UAAUACCCGAUGUGCCGAGAGGUGAAAGAUUUAUCGUCUGAAGAUGGGCUCGCGUCUGAUUAGCUAGAUGGUGGGGUAAGAGCCUACCAUGGCAACGAUCAGUAGCUGGUCUGAGAGGAUGAGCAGCCACACUGGGACUGAGACACGGCCCAGACUCCUACGGGAGGCAGCAGUGGGGAAUUUUCCGCAAUGGGCGAAAGCCUGACGGAGCAAUACCGCGUGAGGGAGGAAGGUCCUUGGAUUGUAAACCUCUUUUAUCAGGGAAGAAAAAAAUGACGGUACCUGAUGAAUAAGCAUCGGCUAACUCCGUGCCAGCAGCCGCGGUAAUACGGAGGAUGCGAGCGUUAUCCGGAAUUAUUGGGCGUAAAGCGUCCGUAGGUGGUUUUACAAGUCUGCUGUUAAAGGAUGGAGCUUAACUCCAUAGAAGCGGUGGAAACUGUGAGACUAGAGUACAGUAGGGGUAGCAGGAAUUCCCAGUGUAGCGGUGAAAUGCGUAGAUAUUGGGAAGAACAUCGGUGGCGAAAGCGUGCUACUGGGCUGAAACUGACACUGAGGGACGAAAGCUAGGGUAGCGAAAGGGAUUAGAUACCCCUGUAGUCCUAGCCGUAAACGAUGGAUACUAGGCGUGGCUUGUAUCGACCCGAGCCGUGCCGAAGCUAACGCGUUAAGUAUCCCGCCUGGGGAGUACGCACGCAAGUGUGAAACUCAAAGGAAUUGACGGGGGCCCGCACAAGCGGUGGAGUAUGUGGUUUAAUUCGAUGCAACGCGAAGAACCUUACCAAGGCUUGACAUCCCUGGAAUCCCGAUGAAGUUGGGAGUGCC
This 822-nucleotide ribosomal RNA is filed under the name uncultured cyanobacterium. RNAcentral describes it as "bacterial SSU rRNA". It matches the Rfam family "Bacterial small subunit ribosomal RNA", at positions 164 to 1018 of the family's 1533-position model. The record is from RNAcentral. Lineage: Bacteria; Bacillati; Cyanobacteriota.